GGAAAUAUCUCAGUGGUAGAGUGCAUUCUUAACAUGCAUGAGGUCUUGGGUUCAAUCCCCAGGACUUCCA
Molecule: transfer RNA, 70 nt
Filed under: Camelus bactrianus (Bactrian camel)
Lineage: Eukaryota; Metazoa; Chordata; Mammalia; Artiodactyla; Camelidae
Also listed under: 2 other names
Rfam family: tRNA
About the family: Transfer RNA (tRNA) molecules are approximately 80 nucleotides in length. Their secondary structure includes four short double-helical elements and three loops (D, anti-codon, and T loops).
Source: Rfam by way of RNAcentral